ACAAUGUGGCAGUGGGAGAAUUAAGGAUGAGAUGAUUGCAUUAGUUCAUUGACCAUCCCUGAGCAACUGAAACACAAUCAUAGGUAAUCCUCGGCCCCUGCCUACAAGAAGCAUGGGUCUAGUUUAGUAGCACUGCCAACCGGACCGACCAUUUACACUUGUGUGUGAAAUGGGGCAGAGCGGGGAGAAGAGUGCCUGAGCUCACAGCGUUGGCGGGGCGCAGUGAGGUCCGCCAGGAAGGAGAGAAGGAACGUCCCUCUCUGCAACUCAUCUAAGGGCCUGCUCGGACCCCGGAUCUCACAGCGAGAACUACCGCCUCACUACACCCGCCUUUCCCCGCGCCACCCAACAGCUCCGACAUCUCACCCUCAGGGAGCUGGGCGGGGCGAAGCGGAAGGGGAGGGGCCGACACAACCACGCCCACUAGUCGCGCUCCAAGGCCGCGGCCCCCUUACCGCGAGAACGCGGAGUCCCGCGGACGGCGCACGCACAAACCUCCUGUGACGCCUGCGCCUCCUGGCCCCGCCCUCCGCUCGUGGGAGUGCCGGAUGUUUAGCGUUACCAUGGAGCCUGGAGGUGCCAGCGAACGCUGCUUGUCGCCUGGGCAACCGGAGAGGACGAAGCAGGACCUAGGUGGCGGCGGUGGUACCGGCUGCAAUGGUGUCCAAUCCCGUUCAUGGCCUGCCCUUUCUUCCGGGCACGUCCUUUAAGGACUCUACGAAAACAGCCUUCCAUAGAAGCCAGACGCUGGGCUACAGGAAUGGCUAUGCAAUUGUUCGACGUCCAACAGUUGGGAUAGGCGGAGACCGGCUCCAGUUCAACCAGCUGUCCCAGGCUGAGCUGGAUGAGUUGGCCAGUAAGGCACCAGUCUUAACUUAUGGCCAACCUAAACAAGCCCCACCUGCGGAUUUUAUUCCUGCGCAUGUGGCCUUUGACAAAAAGGUACUGAAAUUUGAUGCCUAUUUCCAAGAAGAUGUUCCUAUGUCAACUGAGGAACAGUAUAGGAUCCGUCAAGUGAACAUUUACUAUUAUCUAGAAGAUGACAGCAUGUCUGUCAUAGAGCCUGUUGUAGAAAAUUCUGGAAUCCCUCAAGGCAAGUUAAUAAAACGCCAGCGGCUAGCCAAGAAUGACCGGGGCGACCAUUACCAUUGGAAAGACCUAAAUCGAGGAAUAAACAUCACAAUUUAUGGCAAAACUUUCCACGUUGUUGACUGUGACCAAUUCACACAGGUAUUUUUAGAAAGCCAAGGAAUUGAAUUAAAUCCACCAGAGAAGAUGGCUCUUGAUCCUUACACUGAACUCCGAAAACAGCCUCUUCGUAAGUAUGUCACCCCAUCAGACUUUGAUCAACUCAAGCAAUUUCUCACCUUUGACAAACAGGUAAGUGACACAGGAACCGCAGUAGGCUUACUUAUUUCCAAAUGUGACCUAUGUUUAUUGGCAAAAGGUUUGGGUAGCUGUAUUGGUAACUGUUUUGAAACAUUACAGCUAUAAUUGAACUGUUUGGGCACAGUACUGUCUUUCUGCUUUUGUCAAGGGUUACAGGUACAGGAAUGCCUGCAUUUCAUAUGGAGAUCCAAAGAAGAUUGUGGAGUUGCAGAGUAGUUUUGUGAAUCUCACCAAACAUUUAAAUCUCAAAACAAUUUCUGAGCUACAUCUGCUUCCCACCUUACGUUUCCAAUUGACAAUUUCUUUCCCUUAAAAUGAGCUAAUUUCAUAGACUCCUUUGCGAAACCAUAAAUCAAUUAUUAGAAAACUUCAAAAAUAUGCAUAUAUGUAGGUUCUAAUGUUAAAAUGUUUAAUUUUACAGAAGCCCCACUACAGAUGCUUCCUUGUUAAAUGUUACAUUAAUAUUGGAGUCCAGAAUGUUCUGAGCAUUUUCCAACUCUGUUCCAACCUUUCUAAUCCUCUCCCUUGUGAGCUGAUGUGUAUAAGCAGAUUUAAAUCCUUCCCUUUCUGUACUAAAGGGAGAAAGAAAAGGAAGAGAUCACCCUCAGUGCUUCUUUGCUGCUCCUUUUCUUUAGACAUUUAACCCCUUUUAGUUCAGAAAAUGUAAACUAGCACUAGCAUGGUCUUUUAAGGAUUUUGUUCAUAUCAGUCAUAUAUCUGUUAUUAUUUUAUAUUUAAAGAUUAUGUUUAUUCCCACGAUUUGAAGAAGCCUAGCCAAAAAAAAAGAAAAAAGAUUUUGUUUAUAUUAUUGCUAGAAGUUAUGUGUUGAUGGGACCAAAAAAAGACUGGUUAAUAAGUAAAAAUUUUUUCUAUACUAAUUAUAUAUAAACCAUAUUCACAUGUACCUUUAUUAAUAUAUAUAUACCACUAUGUAAAGAACUUCAUUGCUCUUUUAAUUUAGCUUCUCUUUCACUGACUAAUAUUUUGGAUCAAAGUGAGCUCUUCUUUUUUGGCACAAACUUAUAAUCCUAUUAUUUAAUUCUUUCCAGCUGCUGACAUAUAGUACAUAAUUUCAGAUGUUUUAGUAUGUUUGAUGAAUAUUUCUUUUUUUUUCAAUUUACCCCAUCUGAAAUUACUUCAUAGUCUUUCCAGCUAAUCUUUCAAUCAUUGAUACAUAAUUGCCAAAGUAACCGAGCUGAACUCCCUACUUUUAAGAUUCUUGAGUCACUACUUUGGAUUCUUCAAAGGUCCUUCGAUUCUAUGCGAUCUGGGAUGAUACAGACAGCAUGUAUGGUGAAUGUCGGACCUACAUCAUUCAUUACUAUCUUAUGGAUGAUACAGUGGAAAUUCGAGAGGUCCACGAACGGAAUGACGGGAGAGAUCCUUUCCCACUCCUAAUGAACCGCCAGCGUAUGCCCAAAGUUUUGGUGGAAAAUGCAAAGAACUUCCCUCAGUGUGUGCUAGAAAUCUCUGACCAAGAAGUGUUGGAAUGGUAUACUGCUAAAGACUUCAUUGUUGGGAAAUCACUCACUAUGCUUGGGAGAACUUUCUUCAUUUAUGAUUGUGAUCCAUUUACUCGACGGUAUUACAAAGAGAAGUUUGGAAUCACUAAUUUACCACGUAUUGAUGUGAGCAAGCAGGAACUACCUCCGGUAAAACAGGAGUUGCCUCCUUAUAACGGUUUUGGACUAGUGGAAGAUUCUGCUCAGAAUUGUUUUGCUCUCAUUCCAAAAGCUCCAAAAAAAGAUGUUAUUAAAAUGCUGGUGAAUGAUAACAAGGUGCUUCGUUAUUUGGCUGUACUGGAAUCCCCCAUCCCAGAAGACAAAGACCGCAAAUUUGUCUUCUCUUACUUUCUAGCUACCGACAUGAUCAGUAUCUUUGAGCCUCCUGUUCGCAAUUCUGGUAUCAUUGGGGGCAAGUACCUUGGCAGGACUAAAGUUGUUAAACCAUACUCUACAGUGGACAACCCUAUCUACUAUGGCCCCAGUGACUUCUUCAUUGGUGCUGUGAUUGAGGUGUUUGGUCACCGGUUCAUCAUCCUUGAUACAGACGAGUAUGUUUUGAAAUACAUGGAGAGCAACGCUGCCCAGUAUUCACCAGAAGCACUCGCAUCAAUUCAGAACCAUGUCCGAAAGCGAGAAGCACCUGCUCCAGAAUCAGAAAGCAAGCAAACUGAAAAGGAUCCAGGCGUGCAGGAAUUGGAAGCAUUAAUAGACACAAUUCAGAAGCAACUGAAAGAUCACUCAUGCAAAGACAACAUUCAUGAGGCAUUUCAAAUUUAUGACAAGGAAGCUUCAGGAUAUGUGGACAGAGACAUGUUCUUUAAAAUCUGUGAAUCGCUUAACGUCCCAGUGGAUGACUCCUUGGUUAAGGAGUUAAUCAGGAUGUGCUCUCAUGGAGAAGGCAAGAUUAACUACUAUAACUUUGUUCGUGCUUUCUCAAACUGACCUGCUGAUGAGAACAUGCAAGACAAUUUUUGAUAUUGGAACUAUGCUUUGAAAUACACCUUACACUCUUCAUAGAGGCAUUUACAGAGUUCCUGAAGUUUUAUUUCUGUUUUGGUUCUUAUUUCACUGCUACUGAAGUCAAAACUAAAUUGGAUC
Molecule: small RNA, 3992 nt
Filed under: Pongo abelii (Sumatran orangutan)
Lineage: Eukaryota; Metazoa; Chordata; Mammalia; Primates; Hominidae
Description: retained intron
Source: RNAcentral